RNAcentral lists this ribosomal RNA (902 nucleotides) under uncultured bacterium. Its description in RNAcentral is "bacterial SSU rRNA". It matches the Rfam family "Bacterial small subunit ribosomal RNA", at positions 43 to 928 of the family's 1533-position model. The record is from RNAcentral.
UCUGCUUAUACUGCAGUCGAACGGGCGAUGCAGAAGUGGCAACACUUUUGCAAAGCUAGUGGCGAACGGGUGAGUAACGCGUAGGCAAUUUGCCUUAGAGAUUGGAAUAACCUCUUGAAAGGGAGGCUAAUGCCGAAUGCCCUGUUUUUUUCGCAUGAAAUUUAUAGGAAAGGGUGCCGCAAGGCCCCCGCUCUAAGAUAAGCCUGCGUCCUAUUAGCUUGUUGGUAGGGUAACUGCCUACCAAGGCGAUGAUGGGUAGCCGGUCUGAGAGGAUGAACGGCCACACUGGGACUGAGAUACGGCCCAGACUCCUACGGGAGGCAGCAGUAGGGAAUAUUGCGCAAUGGACGAAAGUCUGACGCAGCGACACCGUGUGAAGGAUGAAGGUCUUCGGAUCGUAAACUUCUGUCAAUUGGAGACGAAGGCAGUAGGGUUAAUAGCCUCAAUGCUGACGGUACCCAAUAAGGAAGUCUCGGCUAACUCCGUGCCAGCAGCCGCGGUAAGACGGAGGAGGCAAGCGUUGUCCGGAAUCAUUGGGCGUAAAGAACGCGUAGGCGGUUUUCCAAGUCAUAUGUGAAAACUUUAGGCUUAACCUAAAGAUUGCAUGUGAAACUGGAUAACUAGAGUACGGCAGAGGAAAGUGGAAUUCCUGGGUGUAGCGGUGAGAUGCGCAGAUAUCACGAAGAACACAAGUGGCGAAAGCGGCUUUCUAGGCCGUUACUGACGCUGAGCGCGAAAGCUAGGGAGCAAACAGAUUAGAUACCCUGUAGUCCUAGCUGUAACGAUGGAACACUAAGGGUGUGGGAAGUAUCGACGCUUUCUGUGCGAAGCUACGCAUAAGUGUCCCGCCCUGGGGGAGUACGCGCAGCUAAACUCAAAGGAAUUGACGGGGGCCCCCCCCA